UCUAUACAGUGAAACUGCGAAUGGCUCAUUAAAUCAGUUAUCGUUUAUUUGAUAGUACCUUACUACUUGGAUAACCGUGGUAAUUCUAGAGCUAAUACAUGCUAAAAAUCCCGACCCCUGGAAGGGAUGUAUUUAUUAGAUAAAAAACCAAUGCCUUCGGGCUCCUUGGUGAUUCAUGAUAACUUAACGAAUCGCAUGGCCUUGCGCCGGCGAUGGUUCAUUCAAAUUUCUGCCCUAUCAAGUUUCGAUGGUAGGAUAGUGGCCUACCAUGCUUUCAACGGGUAACGGGGAAUUAGGGUUCUAUUCCGGAGAGGGAGCCUGAGAAACGGCUACCACAUCCAAGGAAGGCAGCAGGCGCGCAAAUUACCCAAUCCCGACACGGGGAGGUAGUGACAAUAAAUACUGAUACAGGGCUCUUUGUGGUCUUGUAAUUGGAAUGAGUACGAUCUAAAAACUCUAACGAGGAACAAUUGGAGGGCAAGUCUGGUGCCAGCAGCCGCGGUAAUUCCAGCUCCAAUAGCGUAUAUUAAAGUUGUUGCAGUUAAAAAGCUCGUAGUUGAACCUUGGGCCGGGGUGGUGGGUCCGCCUCACCGCGUGCACUCGCCCGCUCUGGCCUUUCCUUCUGGCAAACCCCAUGCCCUUCACUGGGUGUGGCGGGGAACCAGGACUUUUACUUUGAAAAAAUUAGAGUGUUCAAAGCAGGCAUAUGCUCGAAUACAUUAGCAUGGAAUAAUAGAAUAGGACGUGUGGUUCUAUUUUGUUGGUUUCUAGGACCACCGUAAUGAUUAAUAGGGAUAGUCGGGGGCAUCCGUAUUCAACUGUCAGAGGUGAAAUUCUUGGAUUUGUUGAAGACGAACUACUGCGAAAGCAUUUGCCAAGGAUGUUUUCAUUAAUCAGGAACGAAAGUUGAGGGAUCGAAGACGAUCAGAUACCGUCGUAGUCUCAACCAUAAACUAUGCCGACUAGGGGCCGGGCGACGUUCUUAUUUUGACCCGCUCGGAACCUUACGAGAAAUCAAA
This 1019-nucleotide ribosomal RNA is filed under the name Cookeina tricholoma. RNAcentral's name for it is "SSU rRNA". It matches the Rfam family "Eukaryotic small subunit ribosomal RNA", at positions 73 to 1102 of the family's 1831-position model. The record is from RNAcentral. Lineage: Eukaryota; Fungi; Ascomycota; Pezizomycetes; Pezizales; Sarcoscyphaceae.